UCGCACUGCUGGCUCCGGCGGAGUCAAGAUGGCGGCCGCUGUGUCGGAGGGCGAUAAGAGACCCGGGAUAUUAUCGCCCAGUUCGGUUGGUGGCAGGUCUGAACUGACAGAUAAGAAG
Molecule: long non-coding RNA, 118 nt
Organism: Nanorana parkeri
Lineage: Eukaryota; Metazoa; Chordata; Amphibia; Anura; Dicroglossidae
Exons: 2
Source: RefSeq, a predicted model, not a curated record